RNAcentral lists this ribosomal RNA (497 nucleotides) under uncultured bacterium. Its description in RNAcentral is "partial 16S ribosomal RNA". It matches the Rfam family "Bacterial small subunit ribosomal RNA", at positions 28 to 507 of the family's 1533-position model. The record is from RNAcentral.
GAUGAACGCUGGCGGCGUGCCUAAUACAUGCAAGUCGAGCGAACAGAUGAGGAGCUUGCUCCUCUGACGUUAGCGGCGGACGGGUGAGUAACACGUGGAUAACCUACCUAUAAGACUGGGAUAACUUCGGGAAACCGGAGCUAAUACCGGAUAAUAUAUUGAACCGCAUGGUUCAAUAGUGAAAGACGGUUUUGCUGUCACUUAUAGAUGGAUCCGCGCCGCAUUAGCUAGUUGGUAAGGUAACGGCUUACCAAGGCAACGAUGCGUAGCCGACCUGAGAGGGGGAUCGGCCACACUAGAACGGAGACACGGUCCAGACUCCUACGGGAGGCAGCAGUAGGGAAUCUUCCGCAAUGGGCGAAAGCCUGACGGAGCAACGCCGCGUGAGUGAUGAAGGUCUUCGGAUCGUAAAACUCUGUUAUUAGGGAAGAACAAAUGUGUAAGUAACUAUGCACGGCUUGACGGUACCUAAUCAGAAAGCCACGGCUAACUACGUG